CAGUAGCCGCGGGAAAACGUAGGGUCCGAGCGUUGUCCGGAAUUAUUGGGCGUAAAGGGCUCGUAGGCGGUUUGUCGCGUCGGGAGUGAAAACCAGCAGCUUAACUGCUGGCCUGCUUUCGAUACGGGCAGACUUGAGGCAUUCAGGGGAGAACGGAAUUCCUGGUGUAGCGGUGAAAUGCGCAGAUAUCAGGAGGAACACCGGUGGCGAAGGCGGUUCUCUGGGAAUGUUCUGACGCUGAGGAGCGAAAGUGUGGGGAGCGAACAGGAUUAGAUACCCCCGUAGUCCCUGUCUCUUAUAC
This 301-nucleotide ribosomal RNA is filed under the name uncultured bacterium. RNAcentral's name for it is "partial 16S ribosomal RNA". It matches the Rfam family "Bacterial small subunit ribosomal RNA", at positions 509 to 807 of the family's 1533-position model. The record is from RNAcentral.